This 469-nucleotide ribosomal RNA is filed under the name uncultured bacterium. Its description in RNAcentral is "partial 16S ribosomal RNA". It matches the Rfam family "Bacterial small subunit ribosomal RNA", at positions 28 to 507 of the family's 1533-position model. The record is from RNAcentral.
GACGAACGCUGGCGGCGUGCUUAACACAUGCAAGUCGAACGAGGUCCCUGCAGUCGCCCGACUGCGGAAGAUCUAGUGGCGAACGGGUGCGUAACACGUGAGAAACCUGCCCCGGUCUCUGGAAUAACAAGUGGAAACACUUGCUAAUACCGGAUGCCGUCGGACCAUCGCAUGAUGGACUGACGAAAGGGCUACCGGAUCGGGAGGGUCUCGCGGCCUAUCAGCUUGUUGGUGAGGUAACGGCUCACCAAGGCAUCGACGGGUAGCUGGGCUGAGAGGAUGAGCAGCCACACUGGGGCUGAGACACGGCCCAGACUCCUACGGGAGGCAGCAGUGGGGAAUCUUGCACAAUGGGCGAAAGCCUGAUGCAGCAACGCCGCGUGCGGGAAGAAGGCCCUAGGGUUGUAAACCGCUUUCAGCAGGGAAGAAACUGACGGUACCUGUAGAAGAAGGGGCGGCCAACUACGUG